This 433-nucleotide ribosomal RNA is filed under the name uncultured bacterium. Its description in RNAcentral is "partial 16S ribosomal RNA". It matches the Rfam family "Bacterial small subunit ribosomal RNA", at positions 29 to 507 of the family's 1533-position model. The record is from RNAcentral.
AAUGAACGCUGGCGGCAUGCCUAACACAUGCAAGUCGAACGACACCUUCGUGUCUAGUUGCUCUCGGGUGCGUCACGCGUGGGAACCUGCCCUUAUGUUCGGAAUAACUCUCCGUAAGGGGUGCUAAUACCGGAUAAUUUCUUCGGACCCAAGGUUUAUCGUACUUGUGUGGGCCGGCGUUCUAUUAGCAUGUUGGGAGGGUAAAAGCCUACCAAGGCUACGCUCCAUAGCUGGUCUGAGAGAAAGAUCAGCCACACUGGGACUGAGAAACGGCGCAGACUCCUGCGGGAGGCAGCAGUGGGGAAUAUUGGAAAAUGGGCGAAAGCAUGAUGGAGCAAGGCCGCGUGAGUGAUGAAGGCCUGAGAGAAGAAAAGCAGUUUUACACGGGAUGAUAAUGACAGUACCGGGAGAAUAAGCUCCGGCUAACUCCGUG